UACGUAGGGUGCAAGCGUUAUCCGGAUUUACUGGGUGUAAAGGGCGAGUAGACGGUUUUGUAAGUCAGAUGUGAAAACUUAGAGCUCAACUUUAAGACUGCAUCUGAAACUGUAGAACUAGAGUGCAGGAGAGGUAAGCGGAAUUCCUAGUGUAGCGGUGAAAUGCGUAGAUAUUAGGAGGAACACCAGUGGCGAAGGCGGCUUACUGGACUGUAACUGACGCUGAGGCACGAAAGUGUGGGGAGCAAACAGG
RNAcentral lists this ribosomal RNA (253 nucleotides) under uncultured bacterium. RNAcentral describes it as "partial 16S ribosomal RNA". It matches the Rfam family "Bacterial small subunit ribosomal RNA", at positions 524 to 776 of the family's 1533-position model. The record is from RNAcentral.